RNAcentral lists this long non-coding RNA (5576 nucleotides) under Lactuca sativa (garden lettuce). Its description in RNAcentral is "long non-coding RNA (LSAT_LNC005799)". The record is from RNAcentral. Lineage: Eukaryota; Viridiplantae; Streptophyta; Magnoliopsida; Asterales; Asteraceae.
AAAACCCUAUGUACUCACCAGGUUUCCCAACCUGACCCACUCAGUUUAUGUAUAUCACAGGUGACGAAGUGAAGUGACAUUACACUGAGAGAUUUAAAAGAGAUGUAGAUCACUAGUGUAAAUCAUUGUAAUUCUGUUUAUGCUUAUGUUUCGGUAUUAACGAUGACAUCCCAAACAUUUUAAAAUGAAAUAAAUACGUUUCUUCGAAAAUGUUUUAAUAACGUAUUUACCAUGUUUUUCUGGGAACAAAUUCCGCAACCUUUUUAUAAAAUGAAGUACUCUGAUUUUUAUAAAGCAUAAACAAAAUCGGUCUUUUCUGGCCGUGAUUUUGGGGAUGUCACAGUUGGUAUCAGAGCAUUAGUUUAAGCGAACUAGGAAUAUGGAUUUAUUUCUAGACUUAAACUUAGAAUGCUAAGCGAUGAUUGUGAGGUGUGAGCACUAGCUUAUUUUAGGAAUUGUGCCUAAAAUGCUUUUAUGUGCUAAAUGCUUUGUGCAUGAUAUGUUGUUAAUUGUUCGGAUCUAUGGUCUGUUGCCGACCGGAUCUGGAAACCUUAUGUGUUUAGGAUUCUAAACGUACGACUACGGUAUUAGAACUAGCAUGUAAAUGUUUCGGAGUGAUAAGGAUGAUUUAAACGUCAAGUAAAGGUCUAAAUUCACCUUAUUCGGUGUAUAGAUCGAGAUGGUAAGGACCCGUAGCGGAAACGUAAACGCAAAUGGGAACAGGAACCAACCCCCAGUGGUUCAGCAAAUACCUGUUGUAGAAGAAGUUGCGCCUGAGCCAGUCACCAUGGCUGGAGUUCAAGCCAUGAUUCGGGCUAUGUUGGCUGAACAAAGGGAAGAAAUGAGACGGAUGUUGAAUAGGGACGAACCUACUAUGCCCAUUGAGCAACCCGAACUGAUUCCCGAGCAAUCUGAGGAAGGGAACUACAGCCGCCAAGUGAGUCAAGUUGGGACUCAAGGUGAGCAAAGGGAUGGCCCAGAAGGGAGAAACAACAAGGAUGGGCGGAUGUACAAGAACUUCUUGGGUGCGAAACCACCAAGCCUCUCAGGAAGCCCAAAGCCGGUUGAGGUUAUGGAUUGGAUCUCUGAGAUGGAGAUGGUGUUUGAGAGCUGCAGCUGUAAUGAGAAACAGAAGACUGUCUUUGCAGUAAGACAGCUGAAAACUGGAGUCUUGAGCUGGUGGAAGCUAUUGGCAGAUACGAUGCCACGAGGAGAAGCCUUAAGGAUGUCGUGGGAAGAGUUUUUGGAACAGUUGAAAAUGCAGUACUGCUCGGAGGUAGAUCUGAUAGACCUAAACAACGAGUUUCAGAACCUGAAGAAAGGGAAGAUGAGUGUUGAUGAGUAUGCCACCGCAUUUACCGAGAGGAUGAAGCUAUUUCCCUACUUGGUGCCUACUGAACUCUCCAAGAUUGAUAGGUUUGCUAACGGACUGCCCACUGACUUUGGUCCAAUGGUCAAAAUGGCAACUACCUUAAAAGCAGCUAUUAGGGCAGCUAAGAACGUAGAGGCCCAGAUAAGAGAAAAGGGUCUAGAAAAAGAUAAGGCAGGAGAGAAGCGAAAGUUUGAGGGAUCUUCGAGGUCGAACAAGGAAAGCAAAUUCUCAAAACUCGGAGGAGCAGAUGGAGGUGAAACAAGAUGGUGUGAUAAAUGCAAGAAGAAGCAUGGUGGGAAGUGCAACGAAGAAGUGACUUGUUACAAGUGUGGGAGGACGGGUCACUAUUCCAAAGACUGCACACAUAAUGACAAAGUAUGCUACGGAUGUGGAGGCAAGGGGCACAUGUCCAGAGACUGCCCAAGGAAAAAUAAAGCAGCAAGACCAGAAACGCCACCAAGGCCAAGGGCAUUUCACAUGAUCCUCGACGAAGCAGAGAACCAUGCGAGGAAUCAAGAAUGAGGACUUCUUACCCGAAGAUCGGAUUAUGCAGUAGCCAUAGUUUCGUAUGAUGUAGCCUAGUAGAGGCAUAGUCUAGGGUGAACUUGAACACCUAUGUAAUCGUUUCAAGAAUUAAUAUAAAACCUUCGUUUUGUUAUCUGAUGUGUCGAAUGAUUGUGUGAUUUGCUGCAUGGUGACUUGGGAAACUGCGAGACAAUACUUGGGACGAGUAUGAGUAGGUGUGAAUGGUAGUAGAGGCCUAUACUACCGGAAGCACAGGACUCACACUUGGAUCAGGGAAAGUCACAAGGUUACCAAGAAGCUAGUAAUUGAUUUCGUUUUAUUCAAGUGUGUUGUUACCAUCGUUUCGGUAAUGACUAAGAAGAUUGUUGAUAUUCCGACCCUAGUGGUCAUAUCGAAUCGAGUCCGACUACGAUGAGUAUGUUGUGUGGUUCAGAGAACCAAGUUUGAUGUAGCGUCCGACUUAAACCAAACGGUUGAAAUCAAAGCGAUCAAUAGAAGUAUCGCACUCGUUGUUAAAGAAGUUGGUGGCUAGAAAUGCCUAAUGUUAAAGUGUGAUUAUAUCACAUUAGAACAUGAAGGAAGGCAUAGUCUGUUUUAGAAUUUAACUCUAAGAGACCUAAGUCUAAGUGUUGCAACAUACGAUGAUAGGUCAUUAGAAUAUGACACAUCGAUCUAUAGUAGUAAUAAAAGAACUUAUCUCAAGUCCGUAUCCAGCAAGGAUCGAGAUUGUGACUUGAAGGUCAUAAUUUGGAGUCUAACCUGAGGUAGAGAGCAGGUGCACGAUCGAGUACUCUUACAGUCAAUGAGUUUAAGAGAUAGAAUCGAAGGAAUGUAGAAGUUAUAAUUAUUACCUAGGAUGAAGAGAUGACGUAUGGAGUCAUUAUACGACCCUGUUUCGUUGAUGAUUCCGGGACGUAAUCAUCCUAAGGGGGAGAUAAUUGUAACGCCCGCAAAUCUGGGCUAGUCAAAUUAGAGGCAAUAGGGGUCGAAAACGACUUUUCGACAAAAGAUUAUUUAGAAUAAAUAAUCUUAACCAAGUUGUAGAGUAUGUUACAAGGUUUUCGUACAUAUAAAGAACGCCGAAAACCGAGUUAUAACGAAGAAGUUAUGACCCGUUGAAGUUUCGCGACGGAACCGGCACGAUACCGGGAAGCGUAAAUAGUGAAUUUACGAUAGAGCGAGAUUUAGCCUUAGCGAUCUAAACGAAAGUCGUAGAAUAUGUUAAACUAAGAACAUCGAUAAAAAGAACGCCCAAAUCUGACUUCGUAUGAGGAAGUUAUGAUUUUUCUAAGAUUUAGCAUAGCAGUGCACAGCCCGAAAUCUGAAUUUUAGAUCGGUCGAUUUUUAGCCGACGGGAUCUAAAUGAAAGUUGUAGUACUCGUAAAUACCAACGCGUGGAUAUAAAGAACGUCGAUAAUAGAGCUCGUAUGCAAAAGUUAUGGACGAAGCUUAGUCCCUACUUUUCGAGCGCGGCGAAUUCGAUACAGUUUUGUAAAUACGAGAUAGAAUGAGAAUUAGCCAACGAGGUCUAAAUGAGAGUUGAAGAUCUCAUUAAUAGGAACUCAACGGUAAAAAGACAGACAAAAAUGGAGCUCGUAUGCAAAAGUUAUGGACGAAGCUUAGUCCCUACUUUUCGAGCGCGGCGAAUUUGAUACAGUUUUGUAAAUCCGAGAUAGAAUGAGAAUUAGCCAACGAGGUCUAAAUGAAAGUUGAAGAUCUCAUUAAUAGGAACUCAACAGUAAAAAGACAGACAAAAACGGAGCUCGUAUGCAAAAGUUACGGACGAAGCUUGGAGACUACUUUACUAUACACUUCCUAUAAAUACAAGGGUGAACUCCUCAUAUUUUCUUCACACCAUAAGCCUUUCUUUCUCUCUCUAACUUCUCUCUAACCUCCCUAAACCCCUCCCAAGUCUAGGGAACCUCCCUAUCACGAGAAGAAAGCCCCGGAGCGCCCGACGGCUCCGAGAAGAAAAGCUUUCGGCUCGGAAACGCUGCUCCAGCGAAGCCCGGUUUUUAAUAAAAACCCGCUGUAAGUGAGCUACGCCUAUAGUAUAUUUAAUAUAGAUUUUAUUUAAUUAUAGUAACAUUGUUAGGACCUUAAAAUAAUUAUUUAGGCUAUUAUUAUGAGUUAUAUUGAGUGUUAUUUAACGCUUAUAUAAUAGUAAUAAUAGCUAGACUAUUAAAUUAGUCUCGUCAAGCGUUAGACUAAACUCUAGUGGUAAUGAUACUAGGUUUCGUCAAGGGAUAAUUGUUUUAAGAGUAACGAAGUGCUGUCCGAGUGCCGACUCACCACCUUUCAGGUGAGUGCAUAGUCCCUUUCAUCUUACACAUAGAUAUGAAGUAUUUUAUAUAAACUACGUGCUAUGUGUGCACAUUAUCUGAAUACUUGCUGUCUAUGCUGGUUGAACGUUUUAUACAUGUUUUAAAGGACUUAAACUGUAUACGUAUUUUAUAUAUACGAAAAUGUUGGGUAUGAGAUGGGUAGAUGAAUGAUGAGAGAUAGAAGAUGACGUGAGUAUACAUUGGCAGCUAUAGACUUAGUGCCUAUGGGACAAACACCGGUAGCUAUGGACUUAGUACCUUUUAGACGUUGGUAGCUAUGGAUUUAGUACCUGUUGGGAAUUGGUAGCUAUGGACUUAGUACCUAUUAGUUAGACGCUGGUAGCUAAGGAUUUAGUACCUGUAGGAACUGGUAGCUAUGGAUUUAGUACCUGUUGAACAUUGGUAGCUAUGGACUUAGUACCUAUUAGAUAAAGACUGGUAGCUAUGGAUUUAGUACCCGAUGAAUAGACUAUAGCAGCUAUGGAAUUAGUGCUUUAUGAACGAACAUUGGCAGCUAUGGAUUUAGUGCCAGUCCCAUAACCCUGGAAGUAAGGGACUUCGGAAUAAACGAAUGCAGGAUAGAUGACUCUUAGGUUAAAUCCUUAAAGAGUAAAGAAGAUAAUGGGGAUGGGUAAUUGGGUUGAUUGUUUGAUUGAACAUAAUAAUUAUAUUAUUGUGGGUUGAAAACCCUAUGUACUCACCAGGUUUCCCAACCUGACCCACUCAGUUUAUAUAUAUCACAGGUGACGAAGUGAAGUGACAUUACACUGAGAGAUUUAAAAGAGAUGUAGAUCACUAGUGUAAAUCAUUGUAAGUUCUGUUUAUGCUUAUGUUUCGGUAUUAACAAUGACAUCCCAAACAUUUUAAAAUGAAAUAAAUACGUUUCUUCGAAAAUGUUUUAAUAACGUAUUUACCAUGUUUUUCUGGGAACACAUUCCGCAACCUUUUUAUAAAACGAAGUACUCUGAUUUUCAUAAAGCAUAAACAAAAUCGGUCCUUUUCUGGCCGUGAUUUUGGGGAUGUCACAAUACCAAUUAACCAUCUUGCGAAUUUCAGCUUUGUCACAUUCAUUGUUCUUUGCACAGCUGUUCAUUCGAAGAAUAAGGUUUGUGUAAUGUGGUGUGGUAUAUCUUUCAACAUCACAAGAUUGAAAUAAAAACUUUGUAAUCUUCCCCUUCUUAUUCUUUCCAACGAACACUAUCUCCAAAGGAUUCAAACAUAUCUCCCCAUCUUCAUAACUCUUCAAACUAGCCUGACUUUUUAAUAUUGAUUGUGGCACAGUGAUUUGUUUACCAAUGGCCAAGGCUAAUUCAACAUCAGUUAAAGCUAAAUAUUCCUAGUAAUUAUCUAUGAAC